Molecule: ribosomal RNA, 229 nt
Filed under: uncultured bacterium
Lineage: Bacteria
Description: partial 16S ribosomal RNA
Rfam family: Bacterial small subunit ribosomal RNA
Source: RNAcentral
UCCGUAGGUGGAUAAUUAAGUCAGAGGUGAAAUCCUGCAGCUCAACUGUAGAAUUGCCUUUGAUACUGGUUAUCUUGAGUCAUUAUGAAGUGGUUAGAAUGUGUAGUGUAGCGGUGAAAUGCAUAGAUAUUACACAGAACACCGAUUGCGAAGGCAGAUCACUAAUAAUGUACUGACACUGAGGGACGAAAGCGUGGGGAGCGAACAGGAUUAGAUACCCUGGUAGUCC